Molecule: ribosomal RNA, 426 nt
Filed under: uncultured bacterium
Lineage: Bacteria
Description: bacterial SSU rRNA
Rfam family: Bacterial small subunit ribosomal RNA
Source: RNAcentral
GUGAGGAAUUUUCCGCAAUGGGCGAAAGCCUGACAGAGCAAUGCCGCGUGAAGGAUGAAGGCCUAUGGGUUGUAAACUUCUUUUCUCAGAAAAGAAUUAUGACGGUAUCUGAGGAAUAAGCAUCGGCUAACUCUGUGCCAGCAGCCGCGGUAAGACAGAGGAUGCAAGCGUUAUCCGGAAUGAUUGGGCGUAAAGCGUCUGUAGGUUGUUUAAAAAGUAUUCUGUCAAAGAUUAGGGCUUAACCCUAGAUAGGCAGAAUAAACUUUUAAGCUAGAGUUUGGUAGAGGCAGAGGGAAUUCCCGGUGGAGCGGUGAAAUGCGUAGAUAUCGGGAGGAACACCAAAGGCGAAGGCACUCUGCUGGGCCAAUACUAACACUGAGAGACGAAAGCGAGGGGAGCAAAUGGGAUUAGAAACCCUUGUAGUCC